UACGUAGGUGGCAAGCGUUUCCGGAUUUACUGGGCGUAAAGAGCGCGCAGGCGGUCGUUCAAGUCGCGUGUGAAAGCCCCCGGCUCAACUGGGGAGGGUCACGCGAUACUGAUCGACUCGAAGGCAGGAGAGGGUAGUGGAAUUCCCGGUGUAGUGGUGAAAUGCGUAGAUAUCGGGAGGAACACCAGUGGCGAAGGCGACUACCUGGCCUGUUCUUGACGCUGAGGCGCGAAAGCUAGGGGAGCAAACGGG
Molecule: ribosomal RNA, 252 nt
Filed under: uncultured bacterium
Lineage: Bacteria
Description: partial 16S ribosomal RNA
Rfam family: Bacterial small subunit ribosomal RNA
Source: RNAcentral